AGAGUUUGAUUCUGGCUCAGGAUGAACGCUAGCGACAGGCUUAACACAUGCAAGUCGAGGGGCAGCGGGGGAUGCGUUUGCUCAUUCUGCCGGCGACCGGCGCACGGGUGAGUAACACGUAUGCAACCUGCCCCGUCCAGGGGGAUAAUCGGCGGAAACGCCGUCUAAUACCGCGUAUAUCGAUUCCGGGCAUCCGGGAUUGAAGAAAGGGCCUUAGGGUCCGGGACGGGAUGGGCAUGCGGCGCAUUAGGGAAGUUGGCGGUGUAACGGACCACCAAUCCGUCGAUGCGUAGGGGUUCUGAGAGGAAGGCCCCCCACACUGGUACUGAGACACGGACCAGACUCCUACGGGAGGCAGCAGUGAGGAAUAUUGGUCAAUGGGCGGGAGCCUGAACCAGCCAAGUCGCGUGAGGGAAGAAGGUACUGAGUAUUGUAAACCUCUUUUGCCAGGGGACAAAGGCGGCCACGGGUGGCCGUAAGAGGGUACCUGGAGAAAAAGCAUCGGCUAACUCCGUGCCAGCAGCCGCGGUAAUACGGAGGAUGCGAGCGUUAUCCGGAUUUAUUGGGUUUAAAGGGUGCGCAGGCGGCGUGUCAAGUCAGCGGUAAAAUGUCGGGGCUCAACCCCGGCCGGCCGUUGAAACUGGCGUGCUCGAGUUGGAGAGAAGUACGCGGAAUGCGCGGUGUAGCGGUGAAAUGCUUAGAUAUCGCGCAGAACCCCGAUUGCGAAGGCAGCGUACCGGCUCCACACUGACGCUGAGGCACGAAAGCGUGGGUAUCGAACAGGAUUAGAUACCCUGGUAGUCCACGCAGUAAACGAUGAAU
This 822-nucleotide ribosomal RNA is filed under the name uncultured bacterium. RNAcentral's name for it is "bacterial SSU rRNA". It matches the Rfam family "Bacterial small subunit ribosomal RNA", at positions 8 to 814 of the family's 1533-position model. The record is from RNAcentral.